AGAGUUUGAUCAUGGCUCAGGACGAACGCUGGCGGCAUGCCUAAUACAUGCAAGUCGAGCGAACAGAUGAAGUGCUUGCACUUCUGACGUUAGCGGCGAACGGGUGAGUAACACGUAAGGAAUCUACCUAUAAGCGGGGGAUAACAUUCGGAAACGGGUGCUAAUACCGCAUAAUAUCUUCUUCCGCAUGGAAGAAGAUUGAAAGACGGCUCUGCUGUCACCUAUAGAUGACCUUGCGGUGCAUUAGUUAGUUGGUGGGGUAAUGGCCUACCAAGACGAUGAUGCAUAGCCGACCUGAGAGGGUGAUCGGCCACAUUGGGACUGAGACACGGCCCAAACUCCUACGGGAGGCAGCAGUAGGGAAUCUUCCGCAAUGGGCGAAAGCCUGACGGAGCAAUGCCGCGUGAGUGAAGAAGGCCUUCGGGUCGUAAAACUCUGUUAUAAGAGAAGAACAAAUUGUAGAGUAACUGCUACAGUCUUGACGGUAUCUUAUCAGAAAGCCACGGCUAACUACGUGCCAGCAGCCGCGGUAAUACGUAGGUGGCAAGCGUUGUCCGGAUUUAUUGGGCGUAAAGGGAGCGCAGGUGGUUUCUUAAGUCUGAUGUGAAAGCCCACGGCUUAACCGUGGAGGGUCAUUGGAAACUGGGAAACUUGAGUACAGAAGAGGAAUGUGGAACUCCAUGUGUAGCGGUGGAAUGCGUAGAUAUAUGGAAGAACACCAGUGGCGAAGGCGACAUUCUGGUCUGUUACUGACACUGAGGCUCGAAAGCGUGGGGAGCAAACAGGAUUAGAUACCCUGGUAGUCCACGCCGUAAACGAUGAGUGCUAGGUGUUGGGGGGGUUUCCGCCCUUCAGUGCCGCAGUUAACGCAUUAAGCACUCCGCCUGGGGAGUACGACCGCAAGGUUGAAACUCAAUGAAUUGACGG
RNAcentral lists this ribosomal RNA (927 nucleotides) under uncultured bacterium. RNAcentral describes it as "bacterial SSU rRNA". It matches the Rfam family "Bacterial small subunit ribosomal RNA", at positions 8 to 916 of the family's 1533-position model. The record is from RNAcentral.